This 499-nucleotide ribosomal RNA is filed under the name uncultured bacterium. Its description in RNAcentral is "partial 16S ribosomal RNA". It matches the Rfam family "Bacterial small subunit ribosomal RNA", at positions 899 to 1397 of the family's 1533-position model. The record is from RNAcentral.
ACUCAAAUGAAUUGACGGGGGCCCGCACAAGCGGCGGAGCAUGUGGAUUAAUUCGAUGCAACGCGAAGAACCUUACCUGGGUUUGACAUGCACCAGAUCGCCUCAGAGAUGGGGUUUCCCUUUGUGGUUGGUGUGCAGGUGGUGCAUGGCUGUCGUCAGCUCGUGUCGUGAGAUGUUGGGUUAAGUCCCGCAACGAGCGCAACCCUUGCCCCAUGUUGCCAGCGGGUUAUGCCGGGGACUCGUGGGGGACUGCCGGGGUCAACUCGGAGGAAGGUGGGGAUGACGUCAAGUCAUCAUGCCCCUUAUGUCCAGGGCUUCACACAUGCUACAAUGGCUGGUACAGAGGGUGGCGAUACCGUGAGGUGGAGCGAAUCUCUGAAAGCCGGUCUCAGUUCGGAUCGGGGUCUGCAACUCGACCUCGUGAAGUCGGAGUCGCUAGUAAUCGCAGAUCAGCAGUGCUGCGGUGAAUACGUUCCCGGGCCUUGUACACACCGCCCGU